This 468-nucleotide ribosomal RNA is filed under the name uncultured bacterium. Its description in RNAcentral is "partial 16S ribosomal RNA". It matches the Rfam family "Bacterial small subunit ribosomal RNA", at positions 28 to 507 of the family's 1533-position model. The record is from RNAcentral.
GACGAACGCUGGCGGCGUGCUUAACACAUGCAAGUCGAACGGAAAGGCCCUGCUUUUGUGGGGUGCUCGAGUGGCGAACGGGUGAGUAACACGUGAGUAACCUGCCCUUGACUUUGGGAUAACUUCAGGAAACUGGGGCUAAUAUCGGAUAUGAGCUCCUGCUGCAUGGUUGGGGUUGUAAAGUUUCGGCGGUUGGGGAUGGACUGACGGGUUAUCAGCGUGUUGGUGGGGUAGUGGCUUACCAAGGCUUUGACGGGUAGCCGGCCUGAGAGGGUGACCGGCCACAUUGGGACUGAGAUACGGCCCAGACUCCUACGGGAGGCAGCAGUGGGGAAUAUUGCACAAUGGGCGGAAGCCUGAUGCAGCAACGCCGCGUGCGGGAUGACGGCCUUCGGGUUGUAAACCGCUUUCGCCUGUGACGAAGCGUGAGUGACGGUAAUGGGUAAAGAAGCACAGGCUAAAUACGUG